GCAGCGUCCUGCCAGCACGGCUUGCCAAACAGCUAAAGCUAAGCAGGUCUGGAUUAAUUAAUACUUGGACGCGAGACCUCCAGCAAAAAAAUAAAUAAAACAAUGCU
Molecule: ribosomal RNA, 107 nt
Filed under: Paramormyrops kingsleyae
Lineage: Eukaryota; Metazoa; Chordata; Actinopteri; Osteoglossiformes; Mormyridae
Source: RNAcentral